GUGGGGAAUAUUGGACAAUGGGCGAAAGCCUGAUCCAGCAAUGCCGCGUGCAGGAAGAAGGCCUUCGGGUUGUAAACUGCUUUUGUACGGAACGAAACGGUCCGGGUUAAUACCCUGGGCUAAUGACGGUACCGUAAGAAUAAGCACCGGCUAACUACGUGCCAGCAGCCGCGGUAAUACGUAGGGUGCAAGCGUUAAUCGGAAUUACUGGGCGUAAAGCGCGCGUAGGUGGUUUUGUAAGUUGGAGGUGAAAUCCCCGGGUUCAACCUGGGAACUGCAUUUGUGACUGCAAGGCUAGAGUACGGCAGAGGGGGAGGGAAUUCCUCGUGUAGCAGUGAAAUGCGUAGAUAUGCGGAGGAACACCAAUGGCGAAGGCAAUCCCCUGGGCCUGUACUGACGCUCAUGCACGAAAGCGUGGGGAGCAAACAGGAUUAGAAACCCGGGUAGUCC
RNAcentral lists this ribosomal RNA (450 nucleotides) under uncultured bacterium. RNAcentral's name for it is "bacterial SSU rRNA". It matches the Rfam family "Bacterial small subunit ribosomal RNA", at positions 354 to 796 of the family's 1533-position model. The record is from RNAcentral.